RNAcentral lists this ribosomal RNA (499 nucleotides) under uncultured bacterium. Its description in RNAcentral is "bacterial SSU rRNA". It matches the Rfam family "Bacterial small subunit ribosomal RNA", at positions 29 to 521 of the family's 1533-position model. The record is from RNAcentral.
AAUGAACGCUGGCGGCGCGCCUAAUACAUGCAAGUCGAGCGAGAAGACGUAGCAAUACGUUUGUAAAGCGGCGAACGGGUGAGGAAUACAUGGGUAACCUACCCUCGAGUGGGGAAUAACUAGCCGAAAGGUUAGCUAAUACCGCGUACGCUUCUUGGACUUCGGUUCAGGGAGGAAAGCGAUACCGUGGGUAUCGCGCUCUUGGAUGGGCUCAUGUCCUAUCAGCUUGUUGGUGAGGUAACGGCUCACCAAGGCUUCGACGGGUAGCUGGUCUGAGAGGACGAUCAGCCACACUGGCACUGCGACACGGGCCAGACUCCUACGGGAGGCAGCAGUAAGGAAUAUUGCGCAAUGGGCGAAAGCCUGACGCAGCGACGCCGCGUGGGGGAUGAAGGUCUUCGGAUUGUAAACCCCUUUCGGGAGGGAAGAUGGAACGAGCAAUCGUUCGGACGGUACCUCCAGAAGCAGCCACGGCUAACUUCGUGCCAGCAGCCGCCGU